Molecule: long non-coding RNA, 554 nt
Organism: Myotis daubentonii (Daubenton's bat)
Lineage: Eukaryota; Metazoa; Chordata; Mammalia; Chiroptera; Vespertilionidae
Exons: 3
Source: RefSeq, a predicted model, not a curated record
CAGUGGUAACAACGAAAACAUCUCUGGAUAUUGUCAAAUGUCCCCUGGGGUGGAGGGCAAAACCACUCCUGAUUGACACCACAAACUGUCCAAAAUGCCACGCCACCAGUAAGUGAUAAUUGACUCCAUUCCCACAGAGACCCGCUGGACUUCACAUCUGCUCUGCCUAAUGGGACUGGGCUGCUAGAAGUAUCUUCAGACACCAGUGGGGUUGUCUCCAGCAAGAAGACUGCGGACCAUGCAUUAUUAUGUAUUAAGAGCUCUUUACUCAACCAGGAUAGACUCCUGCAGACUAAGGGCAGAACAACUCACUGGCCCUGAUGGCACCACUCAGACAUGCGCUAGCUCGCCCUAAGAGCUCUGCGGAGAGCGAAGAGGAAGGAAGUUGGAUAAAGAGUCAUUAAUGUACGAACUCGCAACUAGAAGACUACAUUCUGGAGAUCUAAUGCCACGCAUCAACCAAAUUAUUUUCUGUGUUUUCCUUGAGUGUCUCUCUCACACAGUGGGCUCACUAAUCUAUCAGCCACUACCUCACAGAGUCACACGUGGAUGAC